GAUGAACGCUAGCGGCAGGCUUAAUACAUGCAAGUCGAGGGGCAGCGGGAGUAGCAAUACUUGCCGGCGACCGGCGCACGGGUGCGUAACACGUAUGUAAUCUGCCCAUCACAGGAGGAUAGCCCCGGAGAAAUUCGGAUUAAUACUCCAUAAUAGAAGAUAAAGCAUUUUAUUUCUUGAAAGUUCCGACGGUGAUGGAUGAACAUGCGACUGAUUAGUUUGUGUGAGGUAACGGCUCACCAAGACUACGAUCAGUAGGGGUACUGAGAGGUUAAACCCCCCANACUGGUACUGAGACACGGACCAGGACUCCUACGGGAGCAGCAGUAAGGAUAUUGGACAAUGGCCGCAAGGCUGAUCCAGCCAUGCCGCGUGCAGGAAGACGGACCUAUGGUUUGUAAACUGCUUUUUGAACGGGAGAAAACCCCCCUACGUGUAGGGGGCUGAUAGUACUGUUAGAAUAAGCAUCGGCUAACGUUCGUGCCAGGCAGCCGC
This 495-nucleotide ribosomal RNA is filed under the name uncultured bacterium. Its description in RNAcentral is "bacterial SSU rRNA". It matches the Rfam family "Bacterial small subunit ribosomal RNA", at positions 28 to 518 of the family's 1533-position model. The record is from RNAcentral.